This 397-nucleotide ribosomal RNA is filed under the name uncultured bacterium. Its description in RNAcentral is "bacterial SSU rRNA". It matches the Rfam family "Bacterial small subunit ribosomal RNA", at positions 53 to 496 of the family's 1533-position model. The record is from RNAcentral.
ACAUGCAAGUCGAACGAAGUAGCAUACUUAGUGGCAGACGGGUGAGUAACAUGUAGGUAUCUGCCCUUUGGCCUGGAAUAACACGAGGAAACUUGUGCUAAUACUGGAUAAGUCUUUACGGAGAAAGCUUUAUGCACCAUUGGAUGAGCCUGCACUUGAUUAGUUUGUUGGUGGGGUAAUGGCCUACCAAGACUGUGAUCAAUAGCUGAUUUGAGAGGAUGAUCAGCCACAUUGGGACUGAGACACGGCCCAAACUCCUACGGGAGGCAGCAGUGGGGAAUCUUGCACAAUGGAGGAAACUCUGAUGCAGCGAUGCCGCGUGAGUGAAGAAGGCCCUUGGGUUGUAAAGCUCUUUCGUCGGGGAAGAAAAUGACUGUACCCGAAUAAGAAGGUCCGG